This 429-nucleotide ribosomal RNA is filed under the name Triticum aestivum (bread wheat). Its description in RNAcentral is "partial small subunit ribosomal RNA". Lineage: Eukaryota; Viridiplantae; Streptophyta; Magnoliopsida; Poales; Poaceae. The record is from RNAcentral.
AUGAAGCUGAACUUCGAAGAGGCCUGGUGGGUGGUAACAAACUAUGUGGGACAUCACAACCAUGAAAUGAUAAAGAAAUUUUAUCUGGUUAGGUUUCUGAGUGCUCAUCGUGGGUUCACGCCGGAGGAGCAGCAGUUUGUGAAAUUGCUCCAUGAUUGCAACCUCCAACCUGGGAGAAUGGUCCACAUCCUAUCAAUGAUACACAGCAAAACAGGGAAGCUAAGCAGCAUGCCAUAUCUUCCUUCAGAUGUGGUUAACCUAGUGGCAAACUACCAAAGGGAAAGUCAACUGACAGACAUGGAGGACACAAUUGCAUACUUCAUGGAAAAAGAAAAGGAAGACCUUGAUUUCUUCUACAGAAUCAAGUUGGACGGGGAGGACCACGUGAUGAACAUGUAUUGGAUAGAUGGUGCAGCACGCAGGGCAUAG